Molecule: long non-coding RNA, 321 nt
Filed under: Elaeis guineensis (African oil palm)
Lineage: Eukaryota; Viridiplantae; Streptophyta; Magnoliopsida; Arecales; Arecaceae
Description: long non-coding RNA (EGUI_LNC070268)
Source: RNAcentral
CCUGAUAUUAAAGCUGCCAAAGAUAGGGAUGAUCUCCCUUACCUUUUCUAUAUACUUGGCCAUACUGUCCUCCCGAGCUUCAUAAUUUCUACUGACCUAUCCCACUACUAAUUGGGAGUCACUAUAGGCUUGAAGCUGAUCUACCUCUAACUCUUUGGUGAUCCUUAGUCUCACAAUCAGAGCUUCGUAUUCUGCUAUGUUAUUUGUCGCAGGAAAUUUGAAGCACAGUGCAUACUCUACGAUAAUUCAUCUGGAUUGACCAAGACCAGGCCCGCGCCUGUGCCUGACAUGUUGGAAGAACCAUCCACAUAGAGGGCCCAA